GUGUGUUUGUCAUACUGAGCAUGAAUCUGCAUAAAAUUUUGCCUGAAGCUUGGUGAUACCUUCUCAGCGGCCUA
Octopus sinensis (East Asian common octopus) is the source of this 74-nucleotide long non-coding RNA. RefSeq lists it as uncharacterized. The record is from RefSeq and is a predicted model, not a curated record. NCBI's taxonomy places the organism in Eukaryota, Metazoa, Mollusca, Cephalopoda, Octopoda, Octopodidae. The transcript is spliced from 3 exons.